UGUGUCAGUAAGAGUAUCCGCAAUUGAAGAUAAAAUGACAGAAAAUCAAUUAAGAUAGUUUGAAUACAUGAACUGAAGACGUACAGAUACUUCGGUUAGAAGAUGCAAUUGUGAAACGAGGGCUUAGGGCAAAAUGGGUAGAGAUUGUAAGAAAAUAUAUGAAAUACUUGAAGCUAACAGAAGAUUUGAUGCAAAAUCGAGCACAAUAAUGUUUUAUGAUUCAUACAAUAGACUUGAUUUAGUGAAAUAAAGUUUGGUUAUGGUUUUUGUUUUUGUUCUGUUGCGUGCUGGUGUGAUAAUCUUCGGGGCCCAAUCAACGUAAAAAGAUCUCCCUUAACAAAAACCCAAAAAGAUCUACAUGUUGAGCAGUGUGUGAGCCACACAUAUUGAUCACUUGGUCAGAAAAUUGAGUUCUUUCUGGUGCCAAUUAUUUAUUUAUUUAUUUAUUUUUGUUACUUUGUAAAAGAAAAGUCUUAAAUUCGAAUUUUUUUUUCAAUAUAAAGUUUUAACUUGUUGAAACCUAAAUAAAAUGUUGAUAUUUUUAUUUUUUCUAUUAGACCACU
This 563-nucleotide long non-coding RNA is filed under the name Malus domestica (apple). RNAcentral's name for it is "long non-coding RNA (MDOM_LNC014599)". Lineage: Eukaryota; Viridiplantae; Streptophyta; Magnoliopsida; Rosales; Rosaceae. The record is from RNAcentral.